GUCUCGUCUAGUAUACUUGAGAGACUCUCUCAGCCCUGCUCUCCAAACUACGUAAAACGAUGGAUUUGAUCAGCUGGUCUCUCAACGCAAUUGACACCAUCUUCUCGAUGAGAAGCCUAGGUUCGGGGGAACCUGUCUGGCAGGAACGUAUGCUGCUGGCUACACGAUGGACGGAUGGGAGCGGUGGAGGGUCGUGUGCCUGGCAGCUCUUUCCGUGGAGGACAUUGAAGACAUCUACCUAUUCGGAACCAUGAUUACAGGCCUGGGGGCUGAAGCUAAUUCAGUGGUAAAGACAUGAGCUCGUCUCUUGGAGGUCGACGUGAGGAGGUCUGCACUGGAAAAGACCACACUGAGACCAAACAGCUGUCUCCCUUCCUCCAUCUCUGAGCUACAGGAUGGUAUGUGUCACCUAACCUCUGCACA
Long non-coding RNA from Brienomyrus brachyistius, 423 nucleotides. RefSeq lists it as uncharacterized. The transcript is spliced from 3 exons. The record is from RefSeq and is a predicted model, not a curated record. NCBI's taxonomy places the organism in Eukaryota, Metazoa, Chordata, Actinopteri, Osteoglossiformes, Mormyridae.